AGUGAACGCUGGCGGUAGGCCUAACACAUGCAAGUCGAACGGCAGCACAGUAAGAGCUUGCUCUUACGGGUGGCGAGUGGCGGACGGGUGAGGAAUACAUCGGAAUCUACUUUUUCGUGGGGGAUAACGUAGGGAAACUUACGCUAAUACCGCAUACGACCUACGGGUGAAAGCAGGGGAUCUUCGGACCUUUCGCGAUUGAAUGAGCCGAUGUCGGAUUAGCUAGUUGGCGGGGUAAAGGCCCACCAAGGCGACGAUCCGUAGCUGGUCUGAGAGGAUGAUCAGCCACACUGGAACUGAGACACGGUCCAGACUCCUACGGGAGGCAGCAGUGGGGAAUAUUGGACAAUGGGCGCAAGCGUGAUCCAGCCAUACCGCGUGGGUGAAGAAGGCCUUCGGGUUGUAAAGCCCUUUUGUUGGGAAAGAAAAGCAGCAGGUUAAUACCCCGCUGUUAUGACGGUACCCAAAGAAUAAGCACCGGCUAACUUCGUG
Molecule: ribosomal RNA, 492 nt
Filed under: uncultured bacterium
Lineage: Bacteria
Description: partial 16S ribosomal RNA
Rfam family: Bacterial small subunit ribosomal RNA
Source: RNAcentral